AAUCAACGCUGGCGGCGUGCCUCAGACAUGCAAGUCGAACGAUUAAAGCUCUCUUCGGAGAGUGUAUAGAGUGGCGCACGGGUGAGUAACACCGUAAGUAAUCUACCCUCGAGUGGGGAAUAACAACCGGAAACGGUUGCUAAUACCGCAUAAUGCAGCGGCACCGCAAGGUGACAGUUGUUAAAGAUUUAUCGCUUGAGGAGGAGCUUGCGGCAGAUUAGCUAGUUGGUAGGGUAACGGCUUACCAAGGCUACGAUCUGUAACCGGUCUAAGAGGACGGUCGGUCACACUGACACUGAAUAACGGGUCAGACU
Molecule: ribosomal RNA, 314 nt
Filed under: uncultured bacterium
Lineage: Bacteria
Description: bacterial SSU rRNA
Rfam family: Bacterial small subunit ribosomal RNA
Source: RNAcentral